Molecule: ribosomal RNA, 603 nt
Filed under: uncultured fungus
Lineage: Eukaryota; Fungi
Description: eukaryotic LSU rRNA
Rfam family: Eukaryotic large subunit ribosomal RNA
Source: RNAcentral
ACCCGCUGAACUUAAGCAUAUCAAUAAGCGGAGGAAAAGAAACCAACAGGGAUUGCCCUAGUAACGGCGAGUGAAGCGGCAACAGCUCAAAUUUGAAAUCUGGCUCUUUUAGAGUCCGAGUUGUAAUUUGCAGAGGGCGCUUUGGCUUUGGCAGCGGUCCAAGUUCCUUGGAACAGGACGUCACAGAGGGUGAGAAUCCCGUACGUGGUCGCUGGCUAUUGCCGUGUAAAGCCCCUUCGACGAGUCGAGUUGUUUGGGAAUGCAGCUCUAAAUGGGAGGUACAUUUCUUCUAAAGCUAAAUAUUGGCCAGAGACCGAUAGCGCACAAGUAGAGUGAUCGAAAGAUGAAAAGCACUUUGGAAAGAGAGUCAAACAGCACGUGAAAUUGUUGAAAGGGGAGCGCUUGCAGCCAGACUUGCUUACAGUUGCUCAUCCGGGCUUUUGCCCGGUGCACUCUUCUGUAGGCAGGCCAGCAUCAGUUUGGGCGGUAGGAUAAAGGUCUCUGUCACGUACCUCUCUUCGGGGAGGCCUUAUAGGGGAGACGACAUACUACCAGCCUGGACUGAGGUCCGCGCAUCUGCUAGGAUGCUGGCGUAAUGGCUGU